Molecule: ribosomal RNA, 253 nt
Filed under: uncultured bacterium
Lineage: Bacteria
Description: partial 16S ribosomal RNA
Rfam family: Bacterial small subunit ribosomal RNA
Source: RNAcentral
UACAGAGGUCCCAAGCGUUGUUCGGAUUCACUGGGCGUAAAGGGUGCGUAGGUGGUGAGGUAAGUCGGAUGUGAAAGCUCGGAGCUCAACUCCGAAAUGGCAUUGGAAACUACCUUGCUCGAGGGUUGGAGGGGGGACUGGAAUGCUUGGUGUAGCAGUGAAAUGCGUAGAUAUCAAGCGGAACACCGGUGGCGAAGGCGGCAUCCUGGACCAACACUGACACUGAGGAGCGAAAGCCAGGGGAGCAAACGGG